Molecule: long non-coding RNA, 196 nt
Filed under: Dasypus novemcinctus (nine-banded armadillo)
Lineage: Eukaryota; Metazoa; Chordata; Mammalia; Cingulata; Dasypodidae
Description: lncRNA (ENSDNOG00000051414.1)
Source: RNAcentral
AACUGCAGAGCUUCCUGACAUUGACACUCCUCAAAUUUAUUUAGAAUCAUGUGGAGAUUGAUGUUUAGAAACAAAAAAAUCACCGGUUUGGGCAAAUGUGACUCAACCUUGCCUGAGACAAAAUCAGCUACCCCAGUAGAGGUAAGAAAAAUUCAUGUUGGUUGAUUUUCUUUCAUGCUUAUAUGAGCUGCAUUUG